This 270-nucleotide ribosomal RNA is filed under the name uncultured bacterium. RNAcentral describes it as "partial 16S ribosomal RNA". It matches the Rfam family "Bacterial small subunit ribosomal RNA", at positions 1222 to 1500 of the family's 1533-position model. The record is from RNAcentral.
GUGUUACAAUGGCAGGUACAGAGGGGUGCUACCGGGUGACCGGAUGCCGAUCUCGAAAACCUGUCCCAGUUCGGACCGGAGUCUGCAACCCGACUCCACGAAGUUGGAUUCGCUAGUAAUCGCGCAUCAGCCAUGGCGCGGUGAAUACGUUCCCGGGCCUUGUACACACCGCCCGUCAAGCCAUGGGAGCCGGGGGCGCCUGAAGUCCGGGACCGCGAGGACCGGCCUAAGGCGAAACUGGUGACUGGGGCUAAGUCGUAACAAGGUAAC